RNAcentral lists this long non-coding RNA (328 nucleotides) under Sinocyclocheilus anshuiensis. RNAcentral describes it as "lncRNA (ENSSANG00000040602.1)". Lineage: Eukaryota; Metazoa; Chordata; Actinopteri; Cypriniformes; Cyprinidae. The record is from RNAcentral.
AAAAACUCUUGGCUAAUUUGCAAGUGAUGUACGGACUCCUGUUGAGCUGUAGUCGGCCAUGGAAAAAAGAGAGGAGAAGGAGUUGGACGAGCUCACCCUCCACUUGCAGAGGGACGGUGUGUCCCCUGAGGCUUCAGUAGAGGAGCGUGAGCUGCACCUGUGGCGUUUGCUCCAGCACAGUGAGGGCAGCCUGAGCGCAGCCACUGAAGACCUGCAGACUUUACGCACACAGCAGGCCAGCGAGAUGAGAGAGGUGGAAAAUUACGUGGAGCAUAUUAGAAACAUGCUGGAGGAGCGGGAAUCUCUUACAGCAGAGUACGAACGGGAC